This 384-nucleotide ribosomal RNA is filed under the name uncultured bacterium. RNAcentral describes it as "bacterial SSU rRNA". It matches the Rfam family "Bacterial small subunit ribosomal RNA", at positions 30 to 416 of the family's 1533-position model. The record is from RNAcentral.
AUUGAACGCUGGCGGCAUGCCUUACACAUGCAAGUCGAACGGCAGCACGGGGCAACCUGGUGGCGAGUGGCGAACGGGUGAGUAAUGCAUCGGAACGUGCCAUUGAGUGGGGGAUAACGUAGCGAAAGUUGCGCUAAUACCGCAUAUUCUGUGAGCAGGAAGGCAGGGGACCGCAAGGCCUUGCGCUCUUUGAGCGGCCGAUGUCAGAUUAGCUAGUUGGUGAGGUAACGGCUUACCAAGGCGACGAUCUGUAGCGGGUCUGAGAGGAUGAUCCGCCACACUGGAACUGAGACACGGUCCAGACUCCUACGGGAGGCAGCAGUGGGGAAUUUUGGACAAUGGGCGCAAGCCUGAUCCAGCCAUGCCGCGUGAGUAAAGAAGGCC